GACGAACGCUGGCGGCGUGCUUAACACAUGCAAGUCGAACGGAAAGGCCCUGCUUUUGUGGUGUGCUCGAGUGGCGAACGGGUGAGUAACACGUGAGUAUCCUGCCCUUGACUUUGGGAUAACUUCAGGAAACUGGGGCUAAUACCGGAUAGGAGCCCCUGCUGCAUGGUGGGGGUUGGAAAGUUUCGGCGGUUGGGGAUGGACUCGCGGCUUAUCAGCUUGUUGGUGGGGGAGUGGCUUACCAAGGCUUUGACGGGUAGCCGGCCUGAGCGGGUGACCGGGGACAUUGGUACUGCGAUACGGAGCAGACUCCUACGGGAGGCAGCAGUCGCGAAUAUUGCACAAUGGGCGGACGCCAGAUGAAGAGACGCUGCGUGCGGGAUGCCGGCCUUCGGGUUGUAAACCGCUUUCGCAUGUGACGAAGCGUGAGUGACGGUAAUGGGUAAAGAAGCACCGGCUAACUACGUG
Molecule: ribosomal RNA, 468 nt
Filed under: uncultured bacterium
Lineage: Bacteria
Description: partial 16S ribosomal RNA
Rfam family: Bacterial small subunit ribosomal RNA
Source: RNAcentral